GUUAACCUACGGGAGGCAGCAGUGAGGAAUAUUGGUCAAUGGGAGAGAUCCUGAACCAGCCAAGCCGCGUGAGGGAAGAAGGCUUUCGGGUUGUAAACUUCUUUUCUUGGGGACGAAGAAAGUGACGGUACCCAAGGAAUAAGCCACGGCUAACUACGUGCCAGCAGCCGCGGUAAUACGUAGGUGGCAAGCGUUAUCCGGAUUUAUUGGGUGUAAAGGGCGUGUAGGCGGGAUUGCAAGUCAGAUGUGAAAACCACGGGC
This 261-nucleotide ribosomal RNA is filed under the name uncultured bacterium. Its description in RNAcentral is "partial 16S ribosomal RNA". It matches the Rfam family "Bacterial small subunit ribosomal RNA", at positions 333 to 608 of the family's 1533-position model. The record is from RNAcentral.